GCAUACCACUGUUAAUGUGCACGGUGGUGAUGUAAUAAAACGCACAUUCUUAGGAGUUAUGACAGAUGGCAUUAUCUGCUGAAAAGAAAGCUGAAAUCGUAAAAGAGUAUCAAACUGCUGAA
This is a regulatory RNA element of Thalassolituus oleivorans MIL-1, 122 nucleotides long. It matches the Rfam family "Ribosomal S15 leader". From Rfam's summary of the family: The E. coli Ribosomal S15 gene 5' UTR can form two alternative structures. One that is a series of three hairpins, The other includes a pseudoknot. This structure causes translational regulation of the S15 protein. The record is from Rfam. NCBI's taxonomy places the organism in Bacteria, Pseudomonadati, Pseudomonadota, Gammaproteobacteria, Oceanospirillales, Oceanospirillaceae.